This 426-nucleotide ribosomal RNA is filed under the name uncultured bacterium. RNAcentral describes it as "bacterial SSU rRNA". It matches the Rfam family "Bacterial small subunit ribosomal RNA", at positions 42 to 468 of the family's 1533-position model. The record is from RNAcentral.
UCAGGCCUAACACAUGCAAGUCGAGGGGUAGAAGGAGCUUGCUCCUUUGAGACCGGCGCACGGGUGCGUAACGCGUAUGCAAUCUACCUUUUACAGAGGGAUAGCCCAGAGAAAUUUGGAUUAAUACCCCAUAGUAUAUAUCAUUCGCAUGUUUGGUAUAUUAAAGUUCCAACGGUAAAAGAUGAGCAUGCGUCCCAUUAGUUAGUUGGUAAGGUAACGGCUUACCAAGACGAUGAUGGGUAGGGGUCCUGAGAGGGAGAUCCCCCACACUGGUGGUGAGACACGGACCAGACUCCUACGGGAGGCAGCAGUGAGGAAUAUUGGUCAAUGGACGCAAGUCUGUUCAAGGCAUGCCGCGUGCAGGAAGACGGUCCUAUGGAUUUAAAGGGCUUUUGUACGGGAAGAAACACUCCUACGUGUAGGAGC